Molecule: ribosomal RNA, 497 nt
Filed under: uncultured bacterium
Lineage: Bacteria
Description: partial 16S ribosomal RNA
Rfam family: Bacterial small subunit ribosomal RNA
Source: RNAcentral
GAUGAACGCUGGCGGCGUGCCUAAUACAUGCAAGUCGAGCGAACAGACGAGGAGCUUGCUCCUCUGACGUUAGCGGCGGACGGGUGAGUAACACGUGGAUAACCUACCUAUAAGACUGGGAUAACUUCGGGAAACCGGAGCUAAUACCGGAUAAUAUAUUGAACCGCAUGGUUAACUAGUGAAAGACGGUUUUGCUGUCACUUAUAGAUGGAUCCGCGCCGCAUUAGCUAGUUGGUAAGGUAACGGCUUACCAAGGCAACGAUGCGUAGCCGACCUGAGAGGGUGAUCGGCCACACUGGAACUGAGACACGGUCCAGACUCCUACGGGAGGCAGCAGUAGGGAAUCUUCCGCAAUGGGCGAAAGCCUGACGGAGCAACGCCGCGUGAGUGAUGAAGGUCUUCGGAUCGUAAAACUCUGUUAUUAGGGAAGAACAAAUGUGUAAGUAACUAUGCACGUCCUGACGGUACCUAAUCAGAAAGCCACGGCUAACUACGUG